Molecule: ribosomal RNA, 592 nt
Filed under: Lamproderma scintillans
Lineage: Eukaryota; Evosea; Eumycetozoa; Stemonitida; Stemonitidae
Description: SSU rRNA
Rfam family: Eukaryotic small subunit ribosomal RNA
Source: RNAcentral
UGGUUGAUCCUGCCAGUAGUGUAUGCUUCUCCUAAAGACUAAGCCAUGCAUGCUCUGAAUAUGAGGAAGCAAUUCUCUCUGAAUCUGCGAACGGCUCCGCAAACCAGUUGUAAACCACAGCAAGCUUGUCCGGGUUGGGCUUCGGCUCGGCCUGGGCGAUACGGAUAACCCUGGUAAUUCUGAGGCUAAUACGUGUAUGGAACACCCGGUGGACCAGUCUAGGCUGGGAAACUGGGAGACGAGUGAUUGAAUGCUUGGGUUAACCGGGAAUGGGCGCUCGCCUUGACCGCGCUACAAAGGAUGACCUCUAGGGGGAUUCCCAGCGGCUCUUGCGCGGUGCUUCUGACCUAUCAACUAGAUGGCAGCGUAAGGGACAUGCUAUGGUAACAACGGGUACAGAGGAUUAGGGUUCGAUCCUGGAGAGUGGGCCUGAGAGAUUGCUCAUACUUCUAAGGAAGGCAGCAGGCGCGCAACGUUCCCCUUGGGCAAUGCUCGAGGGCGUUAGGGGACAUAUGAAUGCCUGCCCAAUGGGUGGGCAAUUCAAAUGGGUCUGUUGUAAACAGGCUCUCGAGUAACAAUUAGAGGACAAGUC